This 433-nucleotide ribosomal RNA is filed under the name uncultured bacterium. RNAcentral describes it as "partial 16S ribosomal RNA". It matches the Rfam family "Bacterial small subunit ribosomal RNA", at positions 29 to 507 of the family's 1533-position model. The record is from RNAcentral.
AACGAACGCUGGCGGCAUGCCUAACACAUGCAAGUCGAACGAGACCUUCGGGUCUAGUGGCGCACGGGUGCGUAACGCGUGGGAACCUGCCCUUAGGUUCGGAAUAACUCCCCGAAAGGGGUGCUAAUACCGGAUAAUGUCUUCGGACCAAGGAUUUAUCGCCUUUGGAUGGGCCCGCGUUGGAUUAGCUAGUUGGUAGGGUAAAAGCCUACCAAGGCGACGAUCCAUAGCUGGUCUGAGAGGAUGAUCCGCCACACUGGGACUGAGACACGGCCCAGACUCCUACGGGAGGCAGCAGUGGGGAAUAUUGGACAAUGGGCGAAAGCCUGAUCCAGCAAUGCCGCGUGAGUGAUGAAGGCCUUAGGGUUGUAAAGCUCUUUUACCCGGGAUGAUAAUGACAGUACCGGGAGAAUAAGCUCCGGCUAACUCCGUG